Molecule: long non-coding RNA, 1438 nt
Organism: Beta vulgaris subsp. vulgaris (sugar beet)
Lineage: Eukaryota; Viridiplantae; Streptophyta; Magnoliopsida; Caryophyllales; Amaranthaceae
Exons: 3
Source: RefSeq, a predicted model, not a curated record
UCUAUACGCCUGCCUUCUUGUAUCAAAAGGGGCUUUGUUGAAUCACAAUUGGAUGUCUCUCAAGGAUGUCUUUAUCUUUCCAACCGUAAGUUUCCGAACCUAUGGAUUUGGAAACACGAUGGAAGAUCAACAGAUUCUGAUCCUUGGAUCCCGCAGCUUAUAUUCAAGAAAUCGGGUACUUCUGUAUGCCAACCACUUGUUGAGAAAUUUUUUCGUCAAGUUGCGAGAGAACAUAUUUCUCACAUAUAUAAAUCAUCCAUCCUGAGGAACCGGUUGUUUUCAUUGACGUGGAAUCAUCCAUCUUUGCAUUCCAUCUUUUUAAUGGUACUGUUGAAAAGAUUGCUGAGCGUUCUAAGGAAGAUAUUCUUUUGGUGGGUACUGCCUUCAUAUAUUCUCCAUGCUUUGCCUCAUUGAAGCGUCUAAAGCCAACAAAUCCAGAUCGUUGUGAUCAAUCUAGUUGACCGAGGAUCUUGUCUGAUACUUCUGAAGAGGACAACAAAAGGCAACUGAAGAAGACUGAUGCAUGUAACUAGUAUUCCUGAUAUAGCAUUCUAGACUUGCUGGUCCAAACUAUUUUGAAGGCGCACCUUCAUUUUUAUGAAGACAUUGAAUUAUCAUCUAAUUAUACUAUAUUUGUUUGAACUUUUUUGAUACUAUGCAUUUUUAUAUAUCCAAGACCCGUUGAGAUUGGUCUCUGUUAAUGUAAUAUGGUGAAUAUGUGAUUUUUUUUCCUUCACAAUUGAUUGGCCUGAAGAUGCUUUCCUUGGACCAACAGUCUUAGUUCUUAAUGUCUAAUCAUAGGCAUUCCCAUGAAGAGUUUGAAACUUGAAAGAGAUGCUCAUCCUUGUUCUUGAAUGUUGCCUAGUAUCUUUCUUCUUUGGUUGCUUAUAUGCUCUUUUGCGCUGUUACAACCAUCUUUCCUUCUCUUGUUUCUUGGAUUAGUUUUUACCCAUUUAGUUCUCGUGAUAGGUUCAUGGUUUACAUCAAUUUUAUUGUUUGGUUACUAUUCUUUAUUGACUACCUAAUUAUCAUGCUACCAAUUUUUUUUUGACGUAUCCUGUCUAACAAAGACAUUCUACUAGAUAUUUGGACUGCUUCACAAACAAAUUGGUAUGAAUUAAGAUGCCAAACCUACGCACAAAUUAAAGAUGCUUGGGAUUUUAGGAAGGCAGAGCUGACUGGCUUGCCCUUUGAGAUAAUGCUGAUAAAAUGAGUGAGUUAUUUUUGGGAUUUGUGCAAAAAAAAACUGUCAGUUAGGUUAUAUAACCUUUGCUACCAUGCUACAAGAAAAAAAUGCCAAGGGGAUGGCUGAAGCUGCAGAAAAAAUCGAGGCAAAGAUGCUGUCCAUGCAAAACUGCUGAGAUUCCCUGUGAUUUAAACUCAACCUCAGCUGCUCGGGUUUAUUGUACGUUUCUCUUCUUUCUGCUAUUAAUUAACU